Molecule: long non-coding RNA, 335 nt
Filed under: Brassica napus (rape)
Lineage: Eukaryota; Viridiplantae; Streptophyta; Magnoliopsida; Brassicales; Brassicaceae
Description: long non-coding RNA (BNAP_LNC013162)
Source: RNAcentral
AUUAUAUAUUAUAUAAUGAAAUACUGAACGAAGUUUACUGUUUAGAUUUGAAGUUUAAAGUUUAGAAUUUGAAGUUUACUGUUUAGAUUUAGAUUUUUAAAAUUUCGGGUUUUGUUGACGGUGUUAACGUGUUGCUUUUUCAGCCAUUUUCUUUUUAAUUUUAUUGUCUUCUUUAAGUAAUCUUAUAUGGUACUUUAGUUGGUUAUAAAAACUCACCGUAGGGGUGAACUCAAAUAUUGUUUUUUAUAAGAUAUAAAAGUUCAUAAAUAUCAUUACAUAGAAUAACAUUUUUUUUCUCCCCAACAAGUGCGAACAUAAGGCGGUCUUACACAAAG